CCUACGGGGGGCAGCAGUAGGGAAUAUUGCUCAAUGGGGGAAACCCUGAAGCAGCAACGCCGCGUGGAGGAUGAAGGUUUUCGGAUUGUAAACUCCUUUUGUUAGAGAAGAUAAUGACGGUAUCUAACGAAUAAGCACCGGCUAACUCCGUGCCAGCAGCCGCGGUAAUACGGAGGGUGCAAGCGUUACUCGGAAUAACUGGGCGUAAAGAGCGCGUAGGCGGGAUAGCAAGUCAGAUGUGAAAUCCUAUGGCUUAACCGUAGAACUGCAUUUGAAACUGGUAGUCUAGAGUAUGGGAGAGGUAGGUGGAAUUCGUGGUGUAGGGGUAAAAUCCUUAGAGAUCAAGAGGAAUACUCAUUGCGAAGGCGACCUGCUAGAACAUAACUGACGCUGAUGCGCGAAAGUGUGGGGAGCAAACAGGAUUAGAUACCCCUGUAGUC
RNAcentral lists this ribosomal RNA (440 nucleotides) under uncultured bacterium. Its description in RNAcentral is "partial 16S ribosomal RNA". It matches the Rfam family "Bacterial small subunit ribosomal RNA", at positions 338 to 795 of the family's 1533-position model. The record is from RNAcentral.